ACUGAAGGAAGGAUAUUCGCUCCGAUCCGUAAGUUUGGAGAGGAAAGUCCGGACACCAUAGAGCAGAAUGCCUCGCGAAAGCGAGGGUAUGCGAGGACAAACUUCGCAUAACGGCCAGUGCAACAGAAAACAUACCGCCUUCGGGUAAGGGUGAAAAGGUGCGGUAAGAGCGCACCGCCUUUGAGGUAACUCAAGGGGCAGUGUAAACCCCAUUCGGUGCAAGACAGAAUAGGAGAUAGAGUGGCUCGCUCGUCAAAAAUCUCGGGUUAGUCGCACUUCCUGUAAUGGGAAGAAGUUUUAGGAAAUUUUCUAAAACUUAGAGAAAUGAAUAUCGGGAAUGAACAUUCUCAACAGAAUCCGGCUUAUCCUUCAGGAAUU
RNAcentral lists this RNase P RNA (378 nucleotides) under Puniceicoccales bacterium. RNAcentral's name for it is "RNase P RNA component class A". It matches the Rfam family "Bacterial RNase P class A". From Rfam's summary of the family: Ribonuclease P (RNase P) is a ubiquitous endoribonuclease, found in archaea, bacteria and eukarya as well as chloroplasts and mitochondria. Its best characterised activity is the generation of mature 5'-ends of tRNAs by cleaving the 5'-leader elements of precursor-tRNAs. The record is from RNAcentral. Lineage: Bacteria; Pseudomonadati; Verrucomicrobiota; Opitutia; Puniceicoccales.